CUACGGGGGGCAGCAGUCGGGGAUAUUGCACAAUGGAGGAAACUCUGAUGCAGCGACGCCGCGUGAACGAAGAAGGCCUUCGGGUCGUAAAGUUCUGAUGUGAGAGAAGAAGAUAGUGACGGUAUCUCACCAGCAAGCACCGGCUAACUACGUGCCAGCAGCCGCGGUAAUACGUAGGGUGCAAGCGUUGUCCGGAAUUACUGGGCGUAAAGGGAGCGUAGGUGGUUAUAUAAGUCUUUAGUAAAAGGCAUUGGCUCAACCAAUGUAGGCUAGAGAAACUAUAUAACUUGAGUACAGUAGAGGUAAGUGGAAUUCCUAGUGUAGCGGUGACAUGCGUAGAUAUUAGGAGGAACACCAGUGGCGAAGGCGACUUACUGGGCUGUAACUGACACUGAGGCUCGAAAGCGUGGGGAGCAAACAGGAUUAGAUACCCGCGUAGUC
RNAcentral lists this ribosomal RNA (441 nucleotides) under uncultured bacterium. RNAcentral describes it as "partial 16S ribosomal RNA". It matches the Rfam family "Bacterial small subunit ribosomal RNA", at positions 339 to 795 of the family's 1533-position model. The record is from RNAcentral.